GAUGAACGCUGGCGGCGUGCCUAAUACAUGCAAGUCGAGCGGACAGACGAGGAGCUUUCUCCUCUGACGGUAUCGGCGGACAGGGGGGUAACACGUGGAGAACCUCCCUAUAAAACUGGGUGAAAAUCCGGAAAACCGAGCUAAUACCGGGGAAUAUAUUGGAUCGGAUGGUUGAAUAGUGAAAGACGGUUUUUGUGUCACUGUUAGAUGGAUUCGCGCCGCAUUAGCUAGUUGGUAAGGUAAUGGCUUACCAAGGCAACGACGCGUAGCCGACCUGAGAGGGUGAUCGGCCACACUGGAACUGGGACACGGUCCAGACUCCUACGGGAGGCAGCAGUAGGGAAUCUUCCGCAAUGGGCGAAAGCCUGACGGAGCAACGCCGCGUGAGUGAUGAAGGUCUUCGGAUCGUAAAACUCUGUUAUUAGGGAAGAACAAAUGUGUAAGUAACUAUGCACGUCUUGACGGUACCUAAUCAGAAAGCCACGGCUAACUACGUG
This 497-nucleotide ribosomal RNA is filed under the name uncultured bacterium. Its description in RNAcentral is "partial 16S ribosomal RNA". It matches the Rfam family "Bacterial small subunit ribosomal RNA", at positions 28 to 507 of the family's 1533-position model. The record is from RNAcentral.